Molecule: non-coding RNA, 874 nt
Organism: Paramuricea clavata
Lineage: Eukaryota; Metazoa; Cnidaria; Anthozoa; Malacalcyonacea; Plexauridae
Source: the annotation of a GenBank genome assembly
AGCGAAAUCAGUCGAAGCCACGGAGCAGACGAAAUUGAGCUUGAUUCGUACGUGUAGACUCUAUUCUGGUGCAUCUAAAAAUGAUGGAAACACAGACGCUUCAAUUAGAUGUCUAGAGCAACGCCAAAGGACUGUUCUAUUGAGAGUCAGAGUUAGAUAAUGCGAGAGAUAUUUAAAUGGCGCCUAGAAAUUCCAUAUGAAGACAUGCAAGCCACAAUGUUCGCGAUUAUGUUCAUCGUUUGAAGGAUUCACCUAUGCAUAUAUGCUGACCGAACAACUCAUGAGAUGUAGGCUACAAAUUAUCGAACCAUCGAAUUAAGGUAUAUAAUAUACGGGUACAAUUCAUAACAUGUUUGGUAUGUGGUUCCAAUGUAAUUGUUUAUAGUAUAAUUUAGCUGCCUGCCUGCCAAAAGUAAAUCGACGCGAUUCAAGACUCACCGGGAAAAUAUAGUCAUGAAAUCCAACUGUGGAUGUCAAUAAAUAUUUUAACCUAUAUAUAACAACCGAGGCCUUUAAACUAUUAACUACAGUCACUGGAAAUUUUCUUGAAAAUCCUUUACUAAGGAAAUAGCAUCAAUCAUCGUUGGAAAUAGUAUGGAAAGGCCAAUUUUCAUACCAAUUGCAAGUUCCACACUAUGAAUAAAGACUGGACCAGGAAUAUAAACAUGGUUUGGGAAUGCAAUUGCAAAUUCCACAGCAUGAUAUAUGUCAUAUAUAAAUUGCGUAUUAGUAAUCGGGCCUUGUGUGUGAUAACAAGUACGAUCGUGCUAUAGUGGCCAGGAACCCAGUGCGUGGCCGAGUUCCGAUCUUGUGGAAAUCGCUAAAUGUUCAAAACCUUCGAGAUUUUGACUUGAUAAACAAAUAACAAUAGUAC